This 264-nucleotide long non-coding RNA is filed under the name Carica papaya (papaya). Its description in RNAcentral is "long non-coding RNA (CPAP_LNC000480)". Lineage: Eukaryota; Viridiplantae; Streptophyta; Magnoliopsida; Brassicales; Caricaceae. The record is from RNAcentral.
CUCUGACAAGAGUGGUGUUGUGCUAUCUAUAGGGAUCACUCGUGGUUAAGUAAUAUCAUGACUAUAGAUAUCUGUUAGGGCCACUAUGGCUGGUACGGCCGUGGUCAUAGAUCGUACCAUGAUUUGGCCAGCCGAAAAUGGGCCUGAGCAAAUUUUUAUAUUUAUAUCUGAUUUGGUCAUUCAACUUGGGUAGUUUAAAAUCUGUAUCUACCCUCAGAGAUGGAAGUUAUAACGACUUCAUGAAACAUGACAAAAAAAUUUGUG